UCUACGGGUGGCAGCAGUGAGGAAUAUUGGUCAAUGGACGAGAGUCUGAACCAGCCAAGUAGCGUGAAGGAUGACUGCCCUAUGGGUUGUAAACUUCUUUUAUAUGGGAAUAAAAUGUUCCCCGUGUGGGAUGUUGUAUGUACCAUAUGAAUAAGACUCGGCUAACUCCGUGCCCACAGCCGCGAUAAUACGGGAGAUACGCGCUAUAUCCGGAUUUAAUUGGUUUAAAGUGAUCGUAGGUGGGUUGGUAAGUAAGUUGUGCAAGUUUGCGGCUCAAACGUCAAAUUGCAGUUGAAACUGGCAGUCUUGAGUACAGUAGAGGUGGUCGGAAUGCGUGGUGUAGCGGUGAAAUGCUUAGAUAUCACGAAGAACUCCGAUUGCGAAGGCAGUUCACUGGACUGCAACUGACACUGAGGCUCGAAAGUGUGGGUAUCAAACAGGAUUAGAUACCCUUGUAGUC
Molecule: ribosomal RNA, 460 nt
Filed under: uncultured bacterium
Lineage: Bacteria
Description: partial 16S ribosomal RNA
Rfam family: Bacterial small subunit ribosomal RNA
Source: RNAcentral